RNAcentral lists this ribosomal RNA (482 nucleotides) under uncultured bacterium. RNAcentral's name for it is "partial 16S ribosomal RNA". It matches the Rfam family "Bacterial small subunit ribosomal RNA", at positions 30 to 507 of the family's 1533-position model. The record is from RNAcentral.
AUUGAACGCUGGCGGCAUGCUUUACACAUGCAAGUCGAGCGGUAACAGGCCGCAAGGUGCUGACGAGUGGCGAACGGGUGAGUAAUGCAUCGGAACGUGCCCAGCCGUGGGGGAUAACUACUCGAAAGAGUAGCUAAUACCGCAUACGAUCUAUGGAUGAAAGCGGGGGACCGUAAGGCCUCGCGCGAUUGGAGCGGCCGAUGUCAGAUUAGGUAGUUGGUGGGGUAAAGGCUCACCAAGCCAACGAUCUGUAGCUGGUCUGAGAGGACGACCAGCCACACUGGGACUGAGACACGGCCCAGACUCCUACGGGAGGCAGCAGUGGGGAAUUUUGGACAAUGGGCGCAAGCCUGAUCCAGCAAUGCCGCGUGCAGGAAGAAGGCCUUCGGGUUGUAAACUGCUUUUGUACGGAACGAAACGGCUCUGGUUAAUACCCGGGGCUAAUGACGGUACCGCAAGAAUAAGCACCGGCUAACUACGUG